CAAUAGCGUAUAUUAAAGUUGUUGCGGUUAAAAAGCUCGUAGUUGGAUUUCUGCUGAGGAUGACUGGGUCCGCCCCUGGUCUGGUGAUAUCUAGGCUAUCCUUGGCAUCUUCCUGAAGAACGUAGCUGCACUUGACUGUGUGGUGCGGUAUUUAGGACAUUUACUUUGAGGAAAUUAGAGUGUUUCAAGCAAGCGCACGCCUUGAAUACAUUAGCAUGGAAUAAUAAGAUAGGACCUCGGUUCUAUUUUGUUGGUUUCUAGAGCUGAGGUAAUGAUUGAUAGGGAUAGUUGGGGGGCAUUCGUAUUUAACUGUCAGAGGUGAAAUUCUUGGAUUUAUGAAAGACGAACUUCUGCGAAAGCAUUUGCCAAGGAUGUUUUCAUUAAUCAAGAACGAAAGUUGGGGGCUCGAAGACGAUUAGAUACCA
RNAcentral lists this ribosomal RNA (425 nucleotides) under uncultured eukaryote. Its description in RNAcentral is "bacterial SSU rRNA". It matches the Rfam family "Eukaryotic small subunit ribosomal RNA", at positions 592 to 1017 of the family's 1831-position model. The record is from RNAcentral.